Molecule: ribosomal RNA, 395 nt
Filed under: uncultured Lachnospiraceae bacterium
Lineage: Bacteria; Bacillati; Bacillota; Clostridia; Lachnospirales; Lachnospiraceae
Description: bacterial SSU rRNA
Rfam family: Bacterial small subunit ribosomal RNA
Source: RNAcentral
UGGGGGAAUAUUGCACAAUGGGGGAAACCCGUGAUGCAGCGACGCCGCGUGAGUGAAGAAGUAAUUCGUUAUGUAAAGCUCUAUCAGCAGGGAAGAAAAUAGACGGUACCUGACUAAGAAGCCCCGGCUAACUACGUGCCAGCAGCCGCGGUAAUACGUAGGGGGCAAGCGUUAUCCGGAUUUACUGGGCGUAAAGGGAGCGUAGACGGCCGUGCAAGUCUGAUGUGAAAAGGCUGGGGCUCAACCCCCGGGACUGCAUUGGAAACUGUAUGGCUGGAGUGCCGGAGAGGUAAGCGGAAUUCCUAGUGUAGCGGUGAAAUGCGUAGAUAUUAGGAGGAACACCAGUGGCGAAGGCGGCUUACUGGACAGUAACUGACGUUGAGGCUCGAAAGCGG